AACGAACGCUGGCGGCAGGCCUAACACAUGCAAGUCGAGCGAGGACUUCGGUUCUAGCGGCGGACGGGUGAGUAACGCGUGGGAAUGUGCCCUUCUCUACGGAAUAGCCCUGGGAAACUGGGAGUAAUACCGUAUACGCCCUUUUGGGGAAAGAUUUAUCGGAGAAGGAUCAGCCCGCGUUGGAUUAGGUAGUUGGUGGGGUAAUGGCCUACCAAGCCGACGAUCCAUAGCUGGUUUGAGAGGAUGAUCAGCCACACUGGGACUGAGACACGGCCCAGACUCCUACGUGAGGCAGCAGUGGGGAAUCUUAGACAAUGGGGGCAACCCUGAUCUAGCCAUGGCGCGUGAGUGAUGAAGGCCUUAGGGUUGUAAAGCUCUUUCAGCUGGGAAGAUAAUGACGGUACCAGCAGAAGAAGCCCCGGCUAACUCCGUG
RNAcentral lists this ribosomal RNA (433 nucleotides) under uncultured bacterium. Its description in RNAcentral is "partial 16S ribosomal RNA". It matches the Rfam family "Bacterial small subunit ribosomal RNA", at positions 29 to 507 of the family's 1533-position model. The record is from RNAcentral.